GUCUUGAGGUGUUUGUUGCAUCAAUUGUCUUGACAUAUCAAGACGUAUUUGGGAAAUAGGAACAGAAAAGUUUGGCAAGAAUUACGAUUGAAAGAAGCAAAAUUUUAGCUGACGUUUGCUUGCACAGUCGAAGCCGAUAAUUUCCGUUUUGUCUUGUCACCUUUUUCUAAUGGAAGAAAAAUCAAGCAAGAUGCUGUUUGUGGUGUUAAUUGCUGCUGUCUACAACACGGUAGCGAAAAACGUCGUUGGAAAUGAAAACUUAAAAAAUAGUACAUCAAAAUCUGUUAUUCUUCAUUUGUCAAAUAACUUAAGGAGAUCGAUAGAAAUUGCUGAGAGCACAACAAGUGCAAUGUUUGCUGAUAAUAUCGCUUUAGCCAGUAUCACAGAGCAAUCAAAGGAACCGUCACUAAAUUAUUCUAUUCUAGCAAAAGAAAGUACUUCAAAAGAUGAUUUCUUAACAACACACCAGAAAACACCAUCAAUGACCAAAUUAAUGUCAUCACCCCCAAUGUCGUCUUUAGAAAAUUUUGUAACUACACAAAAUGCAGUGAAAUCAUCGUCAGUGGUCUUAAAAGAAAGUAUUUC
Xenia sp. Carnegie-2017 is the source of this 585-nucleotide long non-coding RNA. RefSeq lists it as uncharacterized. The transcript has 2 exons. NCBI's taxonomy places the organism in Eukaryota, Metazoa, Cnidaria, Anthozoa, Malacalcyonacea, Xeniidae. The record is from RefSeq and is a predicted model, not a curated record.